RNAcentral lists this ribosomal RNA (468 nucleotides) under uncultured bacterium. RNAcentral describes it as "partial 16S ribosomal RNA". It matches the Rfam family "Bacterial small subunit ribosomal RNA", at positions 28 to 507 of the family's 1533-position model. The record is from RNAcentral.
GACGAACGCUGGCGGCGUGCUUAACACAUGCAAGUCGAACGGAAAGGCCCUGCUUUUGUGGGGUGCUCGAGUGGCGAACGGGUGAGUAACACGUGAGUAACCUGCCCUUGACUUUGGGAUAGCUUCAGGAAACUGGGGCUAAUACCGGAUAGGAGCUCCUGCUGCAUGGUGGGGGUUGGAAAGUUUCGGCGGUUGGGGAUGGACUCGCGGCUUAUCAGCUUGUUGGUGGGGUAGUGGCUUACCAAGGCUUUGACGGGUAGCCGGCCUGAGAGGGUGACCGGCCACAGUGGGACUGAGAUACGGCCCAGACUCCUACGGGAGGCAGCAGUGGGGAAUAUUGCACAAUGGGCGGAAGCCUGAUGCAGCAACGCCGCGUGCGGGAUGACGGCCUUCGGGUUGUAAACCGCUUUCGCCUGUGACGAAGCGUGAGUGACGGUAAUGGGUAAAGAAGCACCGGCUAACUACGUG